CGUCAGUCUAACGUCACUCGGUGUCGGUAAACUCACCUGUUAAAGUCUCCUCAUGACAGAUUUAUGAAAUAAACCAGUUCAGUCGAUCUUCUGCCGCGGUGACGUCAUCGGGGCUCGAUCUCGACAGCAAAAGUUGACGAAUGAAUUCGUCCUUCUAUAGAGACGUGAAGUUCGUCCGGUGAGCAUAAUUGAUUUACUGGCAGACAGACACUGAGAUUCUGGUCAUUCGAUCCAAGCACCAUGAUGACAGCGUUUACAUCGAGUCUGCCACAGAGAGCAAGGAAAAGUGAAUUCAUGACAUAACAGAUGGAUGUGGAUGAGAGGGAGGCAGAAGAGGCCAGUGUCUCCUCCUCUUGAUCUGUCCGUUUAAUGAGACUCGACUGCAGGAGGCCGAGCCGUGACACGCCGGACCUGCACUCAUAUGAAUGAUAAAGCCGAGUUGAUGCCCGCAUGGCUGUUUGUCUCUGAAUUACUGAUGGAUUUCUCAGAACGGAUCUUCGUCUCCGUGCCGUGCCGUGGUUGGAGUGCUUUAUUAGUGUGACUGUGACCUUUCUGCUCGGAUCGGACUGCUGGGAUUCAGGCUGCGGCUGUGAAUUUGCUCUGUUUUAUCGGCUGCUGCAGAGCGGCAGGAAGCGUUCCUUUGUCCCGCCAAAACCGAUUAAUGAGUCCCGGCGCUUUACAGAAACACACAGAGAAAAUAUGCAUGGAAAUCAUGGUUAAUAAUGGAGAAAUAAUUAGCUGCCAUUGAGUGUCGCCACAUGAGGCAGCAGAGAGUUAAAAAUGCUUUUGUUAGUUAAAAGAAUAAUGUGUUUAAUGUGAAUUCUUGCGUAAAAUUUGAUUGAAUAAUGAGAAUAAUGAACUUUAGUCUGUUCCUAGACAUAGACAAGUCAUAUAGACUCUUUUAAUAGUCCUUUUUGGAGCUUGACUUAAACCAACAAAAGAUUGUGAUUAGUACACUGUAAAAAAUUAUUUUCAUGAUUUGCUAUCACAACAUUUUAUCUUUUGUCAAAUAAACUUCAAUAAUUCAUAUAAUUAAUUCAGAUAACACAAUAUUCUGAGUUUCUGUUUAUUAAACCAGUCGCCUUCAUUGUAUUAACUCAAAUUUUUAAUUUCAAAAUUUUAACUUACUUUAAGUUAAACCAACAAUUGUACCAACAAACAGUGUAUGAUUUUUUUCUUCUUCUUUUUUUAAAGAAAUUAUUACUUUUAUUGAUUGAGGACGCAUUAAAUUGAUCAAAAGUGACACCAAAGUAAUUUAUAAUGUUACAAAAGAUUCUAUUUCAAAUAAAUGCUGUUCUUUUGAACUUUCUAUUCAUCAAAGAAUCCUGAAAAAUAAAAAGAACUCUUUUGAUGCUGAAAAUUCAGCUUUGAUCACAGAAAUAAAUUACAUCUUACUAUAUAUUCACAUAGAAAACAGCUAUUUUAAAUUGUAAUAAUAUUUCACUAUUUUUACUGUAUUUUUGAUCAAAUAAAAGCUGCCUUGGUGAGCAGAAGAGACUUUUGAAUGGUAAUGCACUUUAAUAUUUUCUGCUUUUGUGUUUCACAGAAAAAAUACCAGCGUGCCGGUUUGUGCCGAUGUGACGGACUUCGCAGCUGUUUUUAAUUGAAACUCUAAAGCGGCCCCCUGGAAGAGAACAGAACUGGCCAUGAUGAAAAGAGCGCGUUACGGCCGUGUUCAAUCACGCAGCGCCGGAAAAGCCUGCUGGGACCCGAGUCAUACAGACCAGAAUAUCACAAAGACCACCUAGAAACCACCUAGCAACCACCACAAAUACCCAACUGCAUAGCAACGCCCUGGCAACCACCCACAAAACUCUAACAUCAUGAUGGUUUCAGAACAAAAAGAAAAUCUAAGCAGAUGCAUAAUAGAGGAGUUUGUUGAUGCUGAGGAGAGUCAGACAUGCCUGGGUUCACUCAAGAAAGCGAGACGCCCGAGUCUGAACCGGCUCGAGACCCGGCGGAUUUACAUUCAGCACGUAAUUGACUCGAGGAGUCUGUUUGAGGGCCGAUCCAGCAGAGUCACGCUCCGGCCACGGCUGCAGAAACAGCUCAGCGAGAUAAGAUGCUGCACUGCAAAACGCUAACGUCACGUCGAUUCCCCUUUGAUUAUCUGUUCAGUCUGGGGUAAAAGGGUCGCUGUUGGUACUAAAGAAACCCCCGCGAGCGCUGCCGUCACCCCGGGCAGAAACAGCGCAGGGGUCCGUGGUAUCUGGAUCUGAGGAGCGCGUUCGAACCCCCGUCCGGGCGUCUCCAUCCGCUCCCAGCAGGAGGUCUCGUGCGCUGUCUGCUCCUUGGGCAAUCAGUCAGGCAUUGAUUCCCGGUGUUUUUGUUUCAGUAAUCUACAUUAGCAGCUCUCUGGAUCUCUCGAUGACAGAGCGAUGGCGUUCUACAGAAAUCUCCAUAAAUCAUCAUUAGGAGAACGUCGUGACAUCCGGCUCAUUAAUCAUAAGAGACAUGCUCCUCCCACAGGUGUCCGGGGCUCUACAGGUGACCUGGAAACGGCAGACGGGACCAAGAUGAUUGAUGACAUCAUUUAAAGGGCGGGGGCGCUGCUCCAGUUUUCUGAAUGUUGGCUGCGCUGAGGAGUCGAUUUUAAUAAUCAUAAAAUUCCAGGCAUGAUGAUUUGCAGCAGCAGAGGAGCGAAAGUGAGUAUUGAUUAUAUCCCAAAAAGUGUGAUGGGAGUAUUGGAUUUCAUUAUGCAAUAUUGAAAAAAUGAAAUAAAAGUAUUCAGAGGUUGGAGUGAAAAUGAAGCCUUUUCCAAACAAUUCAGCAGAAGAUCCCAUAUGGCACUGAAUCAUUUUUGUGAGCUUGACUCAUUAAAAUGCAGUUGCUAAACACAACAUUUAAAAAACAAAAUAAAAUGCUGUUUGCAACCUGUUUUGCUUCCGUAAUGUGAUGUUUUUUUAGAGUAUUCAACAGCAGGACUUGAUUUCACUCAUCAAGAAUUGAUUGGUGUCUAAAUGAAGAUGUUUAAUAAGUAGACAAAACUCUUGAUGUUUUUAAUUGUAAUAAUGUGCAGUGAUGAAUUGUCCACAAUACACUGCAAAAAAAAAAAGUUCUUCCUCAGUAUUUUUUUCGUUUUCCAGUACAAAUAUCUAAACACUCUUAAAUCAAUACAUGUUCAUUUCAUAAAAUGAAUGAAGAUAUUAAGUCUUAUUUUCUGCAUCAAUGCCUCAAAAUGAAGUGAGUUUGAGCUUAAAACAAGAACAAAUAUCUGCCAAUGGGGUCAGAAAAACAAUCUUGUUUUCCCUUUUUUUUUGCAUGUGUUAUUACAGUAUAUAGGGUAAAUUUUGAUUUCAUGAUGACUUUAAGUGUAUUAUCAUAUAUAAUGGUUGCAAUAGCACUAAUAUGCCAAAUCAGUUCAGUGAAGUUUUUAUGUUAUUCUUUAUAAAUCAGUUAUGAUUUCCACUGAGAUGUGUUUGGUUUGUAUUUGGGUGUUUGUCCUGUCCAACUAACCAAUUAACCAACCAACUAACCAACUAACCAACCAACCAACCAACCAACCAACCAAACAAACAAACAAACAAACAACUAACUAACCAAUUAACUAACCAACCAACCAACUAACCAACCAACCAACCAACCAAAAAACUAACCAACCAACCAACCAACCAACCAACCAACCAACCAACCAACUAACCAACCAACUAACCAAACAACCAACCAACCAACCAACCAACCAACCAACCAGCCAACCAACCAACCAACCAACCAACUAACCAACUAACCAAUUAACCAACUAACCAACCAACCAACUAACUAACUAACCAACUAACCGACCAACUAACCAACCAACCAACCAACUAACCAACCAACUAACCAACCAAAAAACUAACCAACCAACCAACCAAACAACCAACCAACCAACCAACCAACCAACCAACCAACCAACUAACUAACUAACCAACUAACCAACCAACCAACUAACCAACCAACCAACCAACUAACCAAAAAACUAACCAACCAACCAAACAACUAACCAACCAACUAACUAACCAACUAACCAACCAACCAACUAACCAACCAACCAACUAACCAAAAAACUAACCAACCAACCAACCAACCAACCAACCGUAUGUGGAGGUGCGUUGGGUCAUGACAUGUUUUCAACUCCCAUCAGUGUUUCUGCAUGAAAAUAAUCCUAAGUGAAAACAUUCCUGCGCUGUAGUGUGUGAUCUCCGGCGCUGCUCUCCGUCAGGACUGACCUUUUUACUAGUGUUUUUACAGUGUGCUUCAGCUUUGAUCACUCGGCGACUGGGUAUGAGUUUGGUUUGUAUUUGGGUGUUUGUCCUGUCCAACUAACCAAUUAACCAACCAACCAACCAACCAACCAGCCAACUAACCAACCAACCAACCAAAAAACUAACCAACUAACCAACCAACCAACUAACCAACCAACCAACCAACCAACCAACUAACCAACUAACCAACCAACUAACCAAAAAACUAACCAACCAACCAAACAACUAACCAACCAACCAACCAACCAACCGUAUGUGGAGGUGCGUUGGGUCAUGACAUGCUUUCAACUCCCAUCAGUGUUUCUGCAUGAAAAUAAUCCCAAGUGAAAACAUUCCUGCGCUGUAGUGUGUGAUCUCCGGCGCUGCUCUCCGUCAGGACUGACCUUUUUACUAGUGUUUUUACAGUGUGCUUCAGCUUUGAUCACUCGACGACUGGGUAUGUGGCAUUUUACAGGAUACACACAUGAGCACACACACACACACAUUUACUGUUGUUCUGCUACAUUUAUUUUGAAUAAGUAAAUCCUCUAAAAAGUAUGUUCUAUUGUAGUAUGAGUGUGUGUAGUAUGAAUGAAAUUCAUAUAUUCGCCAGGUUGUCACUAUCAUGUGACCUACCAGUGUCAGUUGCGUCGCUUCACUGCCAUUCACAAAGCCUCAUGGGAUAGUAAAGUGUCCUUCAUAAGCACACUUCAGAAUCUCGCCAGAAAUAGUUCAUCCACGGACUCUUUUAUACUGUGAAUUCAGACAUACUUCUCUUGUCACAUACUGUUUUUCACCUACUAUAUAGUAGGGAAGUAUGUGAUUUCAAAUGUCUGAAAUCUUAAAAUCCUGAAAUCUCAAAAACUGCACAGUUAAAUGUUUUUACCCACGAAAUUUUGCAGAAAUAUUGCUAAUGUGAUGCACUUUAAGAAAACUCAUAAAGAUAGAGCAUAGUGUACCAUGGUAAUAUGAAAAAAUGUUCCAUGUUGUUUUUCAUUGGUGUUUCACAUUUUGAAUUACUCAAGAGUUUUAGGAUUAAAGGAAAUGUUUGUAAACUUAAUGGAUAAUGUCCUGGCAGGAAAUUACCAGCACCUUUUCCGUUUUUCUACGGAUUUGUUUCUUACAGUGUACAUUCAGAUUCCACACACAGCCUUUAAGUGGAUUCUUGUAUGUCAUGUAGUGUUAGAUAAAUUAUUCAGCUAUCAUGUCUGAAUCAGAAAUGAGAGUGUGUCUUAGAUACAAACCCUACAGGACGACUGAUUCUGUACACACACACAUAAAUUAUAUAUAUAUAUAUAUAUAUAUAUAUACAUAUAUAUACACACACAUAUUACAUAAACUGUGCGUACAGUCAAGAUUAUCUGAAAUUUUCAUUUGUUCCAUUGGCAUUUUUUUUUCAGCCUAAAGGUCCAUUUACACAAAAGAUUAUAACUAUAAUGAUAACUAUAAAGUUUUAAUAAUUCUAUAUAAUUCUAUGAGAAUAUUGAGUCGCACCACAAAUAUAACGAUAACAACAGACAAAAUAUAUAGUUGGAAUCACUUUCAGAACAACUUUUUCCAGCUCAUGAACGAUAAAAACAUUUACAGCCAAUCAGAAUCGAGAAUCCAUCCUGCUUUAGCGAGCUUGAAAAUUUAAAGCGACAGGAAACAAAACUGCAGCGAGAUUAUAAUAAAAAGAAUAUUGUGCAUUGACUGUUCUUGGGGUGAAUGAGCCUUAAAACAUAAAAUUAGUGUAAAACAAGUGAAAAAAGUUGAAUAAAACAUAAUGAAGGAAUAUGUCAGAAUGUUUUAUAUAGGAGAUUCUUCCUUUUGGAUGCAGUUAAUUUUGCUCUGCGGUGUUAUUUAGCAACUUUUAAAUGCCCCAAUUAUGUAAAUUACCCAGAGAUUACUUAUCAUGAUUACAGUAAUGGCGAGGUGAGACGGCUCGCAUAUUUUGUGUGUUAAUGGUCUCUGUCCAUGUCUUGUGUGGUGAAUCACUGAGCAGGUAAAUCGAUAUUUUGACUUUCUCCGGUGGAUUUUUUUCUUCUGUCUUACAGGAGAAAUGCCGUAAUGGAGCUGGACUGUAAAUAAGCGGAAGGCCUUCUUGACAAAUGAAUCCAUUAACAUUUCCCUGUGUCGCCUGGCAAGGAGACUUGCCGUUUAUGGGGCAGAAAAAACAGGCCUGUAAAUCUGACCGCCUGCCCGUGAAGAUCCACGCGGAGGCCCGAAACCGUCCCGCCCAUGAUGCAGCACUUUAUCUGCCUCUGAAAUGGCAUCUUUAUCUGCCUAAAUUAAGUUUUGAUUCCUUGCCACAUACGGUGCCGCAAAUCACUUUUAACGCUGAUAUCAAGAGCGGCACUAAAGUCAGCCUGUGGCCAUGAAAAACGGCUUUUUAUUUUGUAGCAUCCUCUGUUGUUCCCGGCCCGGAUUUAACCCCUGCUGCUCUGCAUAUUCCUUGGGCAUAAUCUAUCACUGAAAGGGCGGUGGUCGCUCUAAAAAAGGAUUGAGACAAGCUUUAUGGGCAGAAUAAAUUUCCAAUUUAAAUGUGAUUUUAGCACCGUGUGUCAGAGAAGAAUUCCCUGACUUCUGUUUCACUUCAUAACACCAGCCUGAACUCAGCGCUUUAGAGAUUGAUGGAGUUUUUUUUCAAGGACGCCCAUCAUUCACUCAGACGGUUAAUGUCUUUGUUAACGGAGGAGAAGAGCUGUCGCACCAAUGACUGACAGGCCUUUCAUCAUUAGCAAACGCUGAGUGACAGUUUUGGGGGAAAAGCAUCAUUGAGUUCUGAGAGGUCUGCGGGCAGCCAUUCGUUACUGAAGAACUGGACGAGCUCAUGUGACAUUACAAUGUGCUUUCGGUACAGAAUUUGUUAAAGGGCCAUUCGCUUGAAAUAUCUGCACUGACAGUAAAAUACCAACCAGAGCCAUUAGGUUUUAAGCCAAAUCAAUCUCCUCAUACUUUAUAAAAAAGUACAUUACAUUUAUAGAACAGAUCGAGAGCAUCAAUUGUGGAAAAACUUACGCCCGCCUUCAGAAUAAAAUACAUCUUUAAUUUAAGAGUAAAGGUCUUAAUUCUGCCCUCUAGAGGCUCAGUUUCCUUCACUUCUGUUUCUACAUCUCAACAAACUUGUAGUUUGCAUUUAAUAACAGGAGUCAAUCAAACCAUUUUACAUGAUUACCUGUAGGAUAAUCAGCGUGCUUCGUUAAAAUAAACCCACAGUAUUUAGUGGAUGCAAAUAUAUAUAUAUAUAUAUAUUCUCACAUACGUGCAUUUACCAAACACUGUGAAUUAGCAUAAUAAUACAGGGAAAGAAAGACUAUAAUCAUAGUUUGGUCAAGUUUGAAUCUGUUUCCACGAGUAAUAGAUAAUGUUCUCUCAGGCCCAUCAGCAAAAAAGCAAUUUCCCUCCCGCUGGUAAUUCAAAGUGAAAUGCCAUAAGAUGUCAGAUUCUCACCGACAUCAUUGUUCAACCCACAAAAAACAAGAUGAGCAAAUCUCACUAUUACUGCAGUUCAUUUUGAGCACUUGAUUUAGUUUCCCAUGAGGCUCAUUUCCUCCUGUUCUCAAUUUGAUUGACUGAAAAUAAAAAUAAAAGAUAAACAUCUAUCUGUCUGAAUGAAUGUGAUUGUCCAAUCUUUGUAGUUUAUAAAUACACUACUGUUCAAAAGUUUGGGGUUGGUUUAAUUUUUUUAAAUGUUUUUUUAAUGUUUUUGAGUGUUUAUGCUCACCAAAGCUACUUUUAUUUGAUCAAAAAAUACAUUAAAAAUAGUGAAAUAUUAUUACAAUUUAAAAUAUCUGUUUUCUAUGUGAAUAUAUAGUAAAGUGUAAUUUAUUCCUGUGAUCAAAGCUGAAUUUUCAGCAUCAUUACUCCAGUCUUCAGUGUCACAUGAUCCUUCAGAAAUCAUUCUAAUAUGAUGAUUUGCUGCUUAAGAAACAUUUAUGAUUAUUAUCAGUGUUGAAAACAGUUCAUAUUUUUAUGGAAACUGUGAUACAUUUUAUUUUUCAGGAUUCUUUGAUGAAUAGAAAGUAAAAAAAAAACAGCAUUUAUUUGAAAUAGAAUCUUUUGUAACAUUAUAAACAUCUUUAUUGUCACUUUUGAUCAAUUAAAUGCAUCCUUGAUGAAUAAAAGUAUUAAUAUUUUGAACAGUAUAUAUGUACUGUAAGUCAUGAUAUGUCCACAAAAAAUGUGGCACAGAAAGUCCACCUUUAAGGGCACCCAAUUCAGUCCACUGUUACGGUCGAUUUAACCAGCAGUUAUGAGGGAUUACAGUCCAAAUAACUCUGUAAAAGUGGAAGAAUAAAGGGAUGUUGCAGCUCCUUACUGAGAAGACUAAGGAGAGGAAAUGAUGUCACGGUGUGUCACCUCUGGUGCUGAAUGAGCGCAGUGGGUGACAUUAGUCUCUGAGACUCUGUACAUGUUCUUUUCCCAGCUCUCUCGGGGGCAGUUUUUCUUUUGGGGCCAGGAAGGGAAUAGGUCAUCAAAGCGGGUUCAUAAAAAUGGACCAAAAAAAUAGAGAUAUUACAGAGCUGAACCUCGGGGUGAGAGGGAAUUAAGUCUAUGUGAGCUAUUGUUGCUGUUUGCUGAUGGAGACCUCUGACAUUUUGAUAUUACUUCGGAGUAUUGUAUCAUUUCAAAGUUGUGAAGCUAAAAAAAUAUAUAUAAGACAUAAAAGAUGUAUGUUUUUUUUUAAGAGAUGAACAACAUGUGGCACAAUUUAAUAGCACACACUCUAAAAAACUCUGGGAUAAAAACAACCUGUUUUUAAGUUGGGUUGAAAA
Molecule: long non-coding RNA, 8977 nt
Organism: Ctenopharyngodon idella (grass carp)
Lineage: Eukaryota; Metazoa; Chordata; Actinopteri; Cypriniformes; Xenocyprididae
Exons: 13
Source: RefSeq, a predicted model, not a curated record